CACCGUCCCAAGAUGGCUGCCAGGUGCGGUGGCUAAGCCUGGGGACAUCUGAAGCCGGUGCCGACCAUCAGGGCCGAGUUGCGACGAGAGAGUGUUAUUAAGCCGAGUUGAUCCUCCUCCCCAGACAUGCUUUCAUGUCUUCCUGUGGGACGUCUUUGCGCCAGGCGGGAUCCUCUGGUGAGACUUCCAACCAGGCGGUAAUUACACCGCUAAUUACACAACUACAAAACAAGACAAGAAAAAAAACCCUCGGCCUUGCACUGGAAUUACCUGCCUCGACGCUCACCUCACAACUUCACUCGACGCCGCGCGCCCGCAAGAAAAGUUUCCACGCCAAUUUGCAAGUUGUGGAAGUGAAGCAGCAGAACAUUGAGUUGUGGAGUGAAAGUGAGAGAGCAGAGUGA
Long non-coding RNA from Entelurus aequoreus (snake pipefish), 404 nucleotides. RefSeq lists it as uncharacterized. The transcript is spliced from 3 exons. NCBI's taxonomy places the organism in Eukaryota, Metazoa, Chordata, Actinopteri, Syngnathiformes, Syngnathidae. The record is from RefSeq and is a predicted model, not a curated record.